Molecule: long non-coding RNA, 5023 nt
Filed under: Solanum lycopersicum (tomato)
Lineage: Eukaryota; Viridiplantae; Streptophyta; Magnoliopsida; Solanales; Solanaceae
Description: long non-coding RNA (SLYC_LNC000059)
Source: RNAcentral
AUUAGAUGGACAAAAUUCAAUCCUUCUCAUUUGUGAUGAAGAGUCCAGAUUGCUCUGCCUCUUGUUUCUCUUUGACUUUCUUCUUUACAACUCUUCUUUCUAAUUUCUUCUUUCCAUCGAGGUGAAUGGUUUUAAGCCAAUAUCCCCCCUCAAGUUGGAGGGUAAAGAAAUGACCCCCAACUUGUUCAACAAAUGGAGAUGGGGAACCCCAGACAGUGGUUUGGUAAACAAAUCAGCCAGUUGAUGCUUCGAUGGAACGAAGGGAAGUGUAAUUAGACCAGCGACAACUGUUGUCUCACAAAGUGACAAUCCAGCUUAACAUGUUUCGUCCUUUCGUGAAAGACUGGAUUUUUGGCUAUGCUAAUGGCAGCUUCACUAUCGGAGUUCACUGUGAUAGGGAGGAAUGGAGGAACAGAGAGAUCAGCAAGGACACGUACCAACCAAGUAAUUUCAGCAGUCACAUGGCGCAUAUAAUGAUACUCUGCUUCAGCGGAUUAAAGGGAGAUAGAAGCUUGUUUAUUGGAUUUCCAAGAAAUGCGAGCACCACCAAAAGUGAUGAAGCAACCACUGACAGAUCUUCGAGUUUUACGACAAGAGGCCCAAUCGGCGUCGUAGAAAGCUAAUAGAGUAAAUGUGGGAUAUGAGGAGAGAAAAAUUCCUUGACUUGGAUCAUUUCGUAGGUAUGUCAAGACUCGAAGAGCAACAAGAUAAUGUGAUUCAGAGGGAUGUUGCAUAUGUUGACUGAAUGUCAAUACAACAAAAGACAAAUCAUGCCUAGUGUGCGUUAAAUAGUUGAUCUUCCCAACUAAAUGUCGAUAAAGUGUUGGAUUAGCCAUGGAGGGAUUGUCAUCGACAUGAAUUUUGGAAUAUAGAUCAAGCGGUGAAGAUACAACAGCGCCAAAACAAUCAAAUUCAGCAAGUAACUCUAAGGUAAACUUGCGUUGAUUGAUGAUAAAUCCCUGUUUUUCUCAGAGGAUUUCCAAUCCUAAAAAAUAGUGAAUGUCUUUGAGAUGCUUGACUCUGAAUUCUGUAUGAAGAAACUGCAUGAUGUGAUGAAUUUCUGAGAUGUCCUCUCCUGUAAUUAGGAUGUCAUCAAUAUAUACAAUGAUGAUAGAGUGAGAGAACCAGAUGUCUCAAAGAAUAGUGGGUAGUCGUUCAUAGAACUAGUAUACCCUUUGAAAGCAAGAGCUCCAGCUAACUUAGAAUACCAUUGUCUAGAUGCCUGUCGCAACCCAUAUAAAGACUUUCCGAGAAGACAAACGUCGUUGGGCAUGAUGGAGGGUAGACCUGCAUGACACUUCAUGUAUACUUCUUCCUGUAAUUCACCAUGAAGAAACGCGUUGCUAACAUCCAAUUGAUGCACCUGUCAUGCUUUCUUGAUAGCCAGUGUGAGUAGACACCUGAUAGUUGUCAUUUUGAUUACCGGAGAGAAUGUUUCUGAAAAAUCAACACCUUCAUGUUGAACACCCACCCUCACUACCAAUAGAGCUUUCAAUCUCUCACUGACCUGUGUUUUACCUUGUAAACCCAUUUACAAGGCAAAGUUGUCUUUCCUGGUGGUAACUGUAGGAUAUUCAAUGCAAGAGCCUUUAAUUCAGCAUCCAUUGUUGCUUUCCAGCCAGUAUGUUUAGAAGCAUGUGCAUAACUCUUUGGCUUAACUACAUCGGAAAUAGAAUGAAACAUAUGCUGAUUCGAAAGAGAUAAAGAGUUAAAAGAGAAAGUAGUGGGCUGGAUAGGGUGGACAAAACAUGCAUUGGUAACAUCAGUCAGUUGGAUGUUAUUGCAACAAUAAUCUUCUAGAUAACUAGGUUUAUGUCGCAUUCUUUGAGUUCUCCCUUGAUUGAUGUGGGGAGAAGAUGAAGAAGAGAGGGAAGAAAGGGCUCGACUGCUGACACUGGAAUGAUAGGAGAGGGUGUCUCAAUAUCUGGGGAUGUAAUAUCAGGAUGUGCAUGAGCUUCUGGAGAGGAUGAAGGAUAAGAGACAGAUUCUGAGAUAUCCAUAGUAGAAUUAUGAGAUGGAAAAUUGGGAGGAAGAGAGUGAUAAGAUUUGUCAGAGGCAAAAGGAAAUUGCUGCUCAUGAAAUUGAACAUCCCUUGAAACAAAAACUUUCUUAGUGUUGAGAUCUAACAACUUUUAACCCUUUUUACCUUGUGGAUAACCUAGGAAGACACAAGCUGUUGCCCUUGGUUCAAACUUUCCUCUCUAUUGAGAUUGAGUUGAAGCACAGCAUAGACAUCCAAAGCUCCUCAAAAAUUGAUAGUUAGGUUGCUUAUCAAAAAGAAUUUCAUAUGGUGUUCUUCCAUGUAGUACCUUGGAUGACAACCUAUUAAUCAAAUAUGUAGAUGUUAAUAUGCAAUCUCACCAAUAAUCAAUAGGUAAGUGAGAUUUAAACAUCAGUCCCCUUCGUAAUUCCAAUAGAUGUCUAUGCUUCCUUUCCACAACACCGUUUUGUUGUGGAGUUCCAACACAUGAAGUUUGAUGCAAAAUUCCUUGAGAUUUAAGAAAAGCUGUCUUCUGAAUACUUGUUCCCAAUUGCAGUGCAUUGUCAGAACUAAUGAACUUGACUUGGGCAUGGAAUUGUCUCUCUAUUAUAGCUAGAAACUUGAUAGAAUAUGAGCCUUCACUUAAUAAGUAAUGGACCAGGUCCCUUACUUCACUUCAGAAAAAUACCAAAAAGUUAAAUGCAGUAAAAUCAACACAAUGAUUUUACGUGGAAACCUCCUUGCUUAAGGGAGUAAAACCACGACCUGUCUCACAGGAUUUUCAAUCGUUUCACUAAUCUUCAAAAGCAAAAGCGAAACACGAUUACACCAAACGUAAGAAAGAGUUAUCAAUCUUACCGUUAAGCAAUAGUCCUCUAUUGCUCAACAAGCCUAAGUAGAAAAACAAUCUACCCACUAAGCUAUCACACCUGGACAACCUAGACUUCUAACACAACACACCAAUUCCUUUAUAGAUUUAGGAGUGAUUUACAAUUUAAGAACAAGAGAAUAAAUUCCUAAACAACUAGACGAAAAGCUCCAAAUGUUGCUGUUGUCCUUGGAAUAAUUCUGCCUUUGCUUUAUGUAGCCUUUGCAAGAGUUCUUGAAAAGUUUUUAUCAAGUUGCAAAAACUACACACAAAUGUUUAGGAAAGUGCCUUUUAUAUGGGCAAGUCACUUUCCUAAACUUCUUUGCCAUUGGCUGGAAAGGUCACACUUUUUUGACGCCAUCGAGAAGUGUGCACCUACUUUCUGUACCGUCUCCAGCUGGCAGUCGACUGGCUCAUCAUCAUGAGAGUCUGGUACCUCUACUAGGUCCCUGGGUUUGUUUCAUCUGCAAUACUUCAAACAAGACACCUGCAAUACUCAAGUAGAAAACCUGGUACCUUUAUGAGGUCCCUAAGUUUGUCAAAUCAUCAAAACUACAAAUAACAAAACUCCUUAAGAGUAGGGAGAACAUUGCUAUUAGAGCUUAACAAGAAAGUCCAAGUACCUCUACUAUAAUCAUCAACUAUGGUAAGAAAGUAUCUAAAACCAUUAUAAGUAGGUGGUUUGUACGGUCCCCAAGUAUCAAUGUGAAUCAAUUCAAAAGGCUUUGUAGAAUGAAUAACACUUAUUGGAAAAGUGAGUCUAGUCUGCCUAGCUUUAGGACAAAUAUCACAAACAUGUUCAGAUUUAGAAAGGAAAUUAAUGAAACUGAAUUUUCUCAUUGUGGAAUUGAAACUACAUUAGCAUUAGAAACAAACUGAUACCUAAUAGUAGAAGACUUCAACAGGUACAAUCCCUCAUUUACUUCACCAAAAGCUUUAAUGCUCCUCCUUAAAAGAACCUGUUACACGCAACCACUAAGAGUAAGUAACACAUUAUAUUUAAUUUUACUUGACAACCUGUGCACAGAUAUCAGAUUAUGCUUGAAGGUAGGGACAUAUAGGACAUUUUUCAGAGUCAAAUUUGGAAGAAUAGAGACACUUCCUUUAUGAGUCACAGUGAUCCUGAAAGAAUUAGGCAAAGUGAGAGCUAAAGACACAGGAAGGGGAGUGAGCAACAGAAAAGAAUUGGAGUCAAAACAGAUAUGUUUAGAAGCACCGGAAUUAAUAAUCCCUGUACAGGAAUUAAUAACUGAUAAACAUGAGCUUGAGUUCCUCAAUGGUACCAGCAAUGGCAUUUCCACUAAAACCAGUCGUUGGUGCUGUCCUAUGUUUCUUCAGGAAAUCUUUUGUAACCUGUUGCACCAGAUUUGUGUAUUGUUCUUUGCUCAUGUACUGGCUGUAAUUGUUGUAGGUUGUAUCCUCUUGUGUGUUUUGAUAAGCUUUAGAUUUUUCUUCUGUUGCAACUGUAUUUGCCUUCACUGUUCCUUGAUUUUCCCUUGUCUUAGUGAACUCAAAAUAAUUGAGGUAUCCAAUAAUCCUGUAGCAGUUAUCAUGUACAUGUUUUGUUUUUCCACAGUAAGUAUGUAACAUUAGGAUUGUACUUAAACUUCCUUGACCUGAAUCUUUGGACUGGUUUUCCAUUCCUUUGUUCCCCACUCUCAUCAUUUGGUUACCAUUUCUGUGAUUCCACUUGCCUUGUGUUGUUGCCAUAAAAGCUGCUGAGUUGGUUAAGGGGUCUGCAUUAACAUAAAACUCUCGUUGGUUCAUCUUGCAACAAAACAUCAAUGCUUGACAAAGGGCUCAUCAUCAGGAUGUUCCCUCUUGCCUGAGCAUAACAGAAACUGCAUUAAUUUCUGAUGUUACAGUGAUUUAACCAGAUUUCCCUUACCCUCACAUACACAGACAUAAGAACAAGAUAUAAUGACACUAAGGGAAUCCAGUUCAUUCCACAACCUCUUAAGUUUAGUAAAGUAAUUUGCUAUAUCACUCAUACCUUAUGCUCCGUUGCAUCUUCCGAAUCUUCUUUCCAGGCUAUCCCAGAUCUCCUUGGCAGUCUUGGAUUAGAUUACACUGUCUCCAAUUUCCCGGAAAGUGAAUUCAACAACCAUGAUAUCACCAAUAUCGUUGCAACAAAUCCAUUGGCCAUACUAUACAAUAUCAACACUGCCCUACUC